This 814-nucleotide ribosomal RNA is filed under the name uncultured bacterium. RNAcentral describes it as "bacterial SSU rRNA". It matches the Rfam family "Bacterial small subunit ribosomal RNA", at positions 1 to 810 of the family's 1533-position model. The record is from RNAcentral.
UAGAGUUUGAUCCUGGCUCAGAUCCUACGCUGGCGGCAGGCCUAACACAUGCAAGUCGAGCGGCAGCACAAGGGAGUUUACUCCUGAGGUGGCGAGCGGCGGACGGGUGAGUAAUGCCUAGGGAUCUGCCCAGUCGAGGGGGAUAACAGUUGGAAACGACUGCUAAUACCGCAUACGCCCUACGGGGGAAAGGAGGGGACCUUUUGGCCUUCCGCGAUUGGAUGAACCUAGGUGGGAUUAGCUAGUUGGUGAGGUAAUGGCUCACCAAGGCGACGAUCCCUAGCUGUUCUGAGAGGAUGAUCAGCCACACUGGGACUGAGACACGGCCCAGACUCCUACGGGAGGCAGCAGUGGGGAAUAUUGCACAAUGGGGGAAACCCUGAUGCAGCCAUGCCGCGUGUGUGAAGAAGGCCUUCGGGUUGUAAAGCACUUUCAGUGGGGAGGAAAGGUUGUAAGUUAAUACCUUGCAGCUGUGACGUUACCUACAGAAGAAGGACCGGCUAACUCCGUGCCAGCAGCCGCGGUAAUACGGAGGGUCCAAGCGUUAAUCGGAAUUACUGGGCGUAAAGCGUGCGCAGGCGGUUUGUUAAGCGAGAUGUGAAAGCCCCGGGCUCAACCUGGGAAUUGCAUUUCGAACUGGCAAACUAGAGUCUUGUAGAGGGGGGUAGAAUUCCAGGUGUAGCGGUGAAAUGCGUAGAGAUCUGGAGGAAUACCGGUGGCGAAGGCGGCCCCCUGGACAAAGACUGACGCUCAGGCACGAAAGCGUGGGGAGCAAACAGGAUAAGAUACCCUGGUAGUCCACGCCGUAAACGAU